AGAAACCAAGGAAGAACAAAUCCUAGGUGGGACAAAUCAAAGAGAAAGUGUUGGAAUUCAAGGAUUUGAUCAAGCAAAGGUAAAAUUUCUUUGAUUUUGCUAGUGAUUUACCUUACCCAUGCAUUUUUCCUUAAUUUCCAUGGUUGAAAAGCAUGCUUUCAUGGUGAAUUCAUGGCUGGUCAAAAUAGGUAUGGAGAGAGAAUGAUCUUGGAUUGGUUUGAUUUUUAGGUAUGUUAGUGUUUUUAGGUGAUUAAUGAUGUGUAGCAUGAAAACAAGUGAAGAAAACCACAAAAGGUUUGGUGCCCAUCAAUAGCCGAAUUCUCUAAGUGAAUAAUGAGGAAGAAUGGGAUGUUAUUCUAGGUGAUUUGAUUAAGAAAUAAUAGUCCUUGGUGAAUUAAGGGAUUGGAAAAGAAAUGGAGCAAGUUAGAGUGAUAUUGGACGCAUUGGCCAAUUUAUAAGAUGAAAAAUCGAUUUAGGCCAAUACCGGGUCUAGAUGGCUACCCGUGCAUUUUUCAUUUCAUAUCGCGCAUAUAUAUUGAGCCUAAAAUAGCUUAUGAUUGUUAGACACAAUUUAAUUGGAAUAUGUGUCAUGGUUUAUGGCUAGGUGGUGAGCCAUUGGAUACGGGUAAAGGACUGUACCCGCGGACUGAAAAUAGGAGUAUUUCUACUCCUAAUACUGUGAGUAAACUUAUUAUUGUCUUAAUUAUCUAGAGUAGUUUUAUACAAUUGUGUGAUUUUAUAGAAAAUGGGUUUAAAUGGUAAA
Molecule: long non-coding RNA, 763 nt
Filed under: Theobroma cacao (cacao)
Lineage: Eukaryota; Viridiplantae; Streptophyta; Magnoliopsida; Malvales; Malvaceae
Description: long non-coding RNA (TCAC_LNC006269)
Source: RNAcentral